AGUGAACGCUGGCGGUAGGCCUAACACAUGCAAGUCGAACGGCAGCACAGUAAGAGCUUGCUCUUACGGGUGGCGAGUGGCGGACGGGUGAGGAAUACAUCGGAAUCUACUUUUUCGUGGGGGAUAACGUAGGGAACCUUACGCUAAUACCGCAUACGACCUACGGGUGAAAGCAGGGGAUCUUCGGACCUUGCGCGAUUGAAUGAGCCGAUGUCGGAUUAGCUAGUUGGCGGGGUAAAGGCCCACCAAGGCGACGAUCCGUAGCUGGUCUGAGAGGAUGAUCAGCCACACUGGAACUGAGACACGGUCCAGACUCCUACGGGAGGCAGCAGUGGGGAAUAUUGGACAAUGGGCGCAAGCCUGAUCCAGCCAUACCGCGUGGGUGAAGAAGGCCUUCGGGUUGUAAAGCCCUUUUGUUGGGAAAGAGAAGCAGCAGGUUAAUACCCCGCUGUUCUGACGGUACCCAAAGAAUAAGCACAGGCUAACUUCGUG
RNAcentral lists this ribosomal RNA (492 nucleotides) under uncultured bacterium. RNAcentral describes it as "partial 16S ribosomal RNA". It matches the Rfam family "Bacterial small subunit ribosomal RNA", at positions 29 to 507 of the family's 1533-position model. The record is from RNAcentral.